Molecule: long non-coding RNA, 450 nt
Organism: Maylandia zebra (zebra mbuna)
Lineage: Eukaryota; Metazoa; Chordata; Actinopteri; Cichliformes; Cichlidae
Source: RefSeq, a predicted model, not a curated record
UCCAGCCGUUUGGGGUGAGGUGAAGCUUCCAGGAUGUUGUACAUGUUGACAUGUUUGAGUUUGUUCUGUGCUCUACAAAGAAGUGUUUCAUCAGAUGAAGCUGUGUCACUUAAUUGCAACAACACUGUCAGUGCUACAGCUGGAGAAAAUGUGACUCUAAAUUGUUCCAUAACUUCGACUUUUGGAGGGAAAGUGUGUACUGGUCAAAAGUAUGACUGGCAUAACACAAAUGGCAACAAACUAUGUGAAACUGAUGCCACAAAAUACACUUGUGCAUGGGAUGCCCUUACCUACCUGUCACUGACCAUCUCAAAUGUCCAAGAAGAGGCAAAUGUCACAGCUGAAAUCGUGUCAAUCUGUGGAAUGGUGAAAUCACUUCCUGUCAGAGUACAGCUAAUCAUUGAUCCAAAAACGGACGUUUUCCAACCAACAACACCACCAGAUAACGGU